Molecule: long non-coding RNA, 933 nt
Organism: Passer domesticus (house sparrow)
Lineage: Eukaryota; Metazoa; Chordata; Aves; Passeriformes; Passeridae
Exons: 7
Source: RefSeq, a predicted model, not a curated record
AAACCAAUCAGUGGCCAGAUUUGAAACUGGCACCUGUGGGUGGCCACUGAGGAUUUGGAUACACCUCUGAGAACACACAGGGGUUAAAAGGAGAGCACUCUGAGAGAAACUUCCUCUUUGGAAUCCGGCAUCGGCUUUUCUCUUCCUUCAGCAGCAGAAAGCAUUCGUGUUUGAAGACGUCAUGGGAGGGGCACACAAAGCACUGACACACGAGAAAUAUUUAUGGAGGUCAUCAAUUGUUCAGAUAUUCCAAAUAUUGCUGUCUCUGACUUCAACAUGUCUUAAUUCAACAUCAACUUAUCCUCUCUCGUCACAUCUGAACACAGAGGAUCUUUUUUGUAAAUUUUGGAAUGGCUCCAUUUGGAUAACCACAAAUCUUUUGUCUGCUUUUAGAUUCAAUAUGAAACAUCUACCUGUCAGUAAUGUCAGGGGUCAGGUAUCUCUAGAGGGUGAUGCAGAUAUUCAAUAAGGUUAUUACACUGCAGUAAAAGGAAAAGAAUGUAUUGCCCCUUGUGGAUGGGUUAGCAGGUGACAGGAGCAUCAAGAGCAAAAGGUACUCAAACCAGACAGAAUUACCAGCUCAGAAUUACUGAUUAAGUCUCUCUGCUAACCACCGUCAUUCUGAACUUAUGGAAAACAACAUUUCUUCUUCUGUAUCUCUGAAUUCAUAAUAUAUGUUAUAUAAUUUGCUACAGAAAAUCACUUCUGCAGCAGAAAGCCCAGCUGUGUCCUUAUAGGAAAUUGUUUCAUAGGGGAACAGUGCUCUCCAGUGAUCAAAGAAGGGAACUGUUUUAGUCAUAAAACAGUUGCCUCUGUUCUCAUGCAGACAGUCCUGUCAGUGUGGAAAUGCUAAGAUGUAGUUUCAAAUAAUGUCACUACAUCACAGCCUCCAGCCAGGUAAUUCUUCAGAAACAGUACAACACUGUUCCAUGC